AUGUAAGGUAAGCGUGUCCUGGCCCAGAGAGCGGGCUUGAAGAUGAGGUCAGACUGAUGCUGUAAGACAGGACGCUUGUGAGGUCCACGCACCUGAAGGGAGAGCGCCCCCAAGGGUGUUUGCUUCAGCCGGAAGCAGAGGGGGAAGGCAGUCCUGGAUCAACUGCCACCGAGAGCGAAUGCACCUCUGGGUCAGUUCUUCGAUCACAAAGUCCAAAAUCCGUGUGGUCAAUUACUUGGAGGCACCGGGCCGUCCUGAAACCUUUCCUUGUCUGAGGAGGACCUGAGAUCCCAUGGAGAACUCAAGCCAAAGAGAGAACUGAGCCCAGUGAACAAUUCAGAGAGAUCACCAAAAGGAGGCCAAACGUGGAAAAGAAACAGCUUGGGGAAAUGUGUUUGCUCACAGUGCUUUUGGGGAAAAAAAAUCCACAUUUCCAUCAGGUUUAAUAACAUGCCAGAGCCUAAAUGAGCCAAGUACAAAGAUCUAUGGUGAGGCUCCUAGCUUUGAAAUGCCAGAUGGUUCUCUUCAGUUAUGUCAUAAAGUCCACAGGUGUGGCAUGCACUGGCCAGAAGAUGGAACGAGAACACGUGAACAGCCCACAACCUUCGCCGGAAGGAUAGGUCCGACCAGGGUCACCGGUAUAAACUUGGCUAUAACAAAUAAUAAAGAUUCACUUUGGAAACUCAACUGUUUUUAUGUAGAAAUAAUAUAUGUUGAGGUCCCAUGAGGGCAAAGCACAAGGAGAUCCCAAAAACCCUUCAGAGGAGCCCACGGCCUCUUCUCAUCUGUAAUUAGCCGCUCGGAGUCCUUGGGUCUCUAGCUGACGGGCCACCGAGCGAGCCCUUGGCUGUAUGUGGGUCCCGGUGGAAAGAGGAAAACCCUCUGAGCGUAGGUGAAGGAAGAAGCAAGUGAGCCCUUGGAUCCACAUCCUGAAUGGGGUCCUGAGCUCUGGACCCCCUUUGUGAAGGGAGCAGGUUUGCAUCGCUAAGCAACCAGGACGUCAGCUCCCAGUCCUGCUCUUUUCAACUGGGCCACACAGCUGCUGAAGAAAGACCACAGAAUCCACACUCAGAAUCAGGGCCUGAUGAGCAGUCGUUCCUGCAUUCCUCUACGCCAAGUCCGUCUCAGGGACAAGCCUAUAGAAGUCACCCCCAGAACUGGAGGGUGGCCCCAGUGCAGGCCCCCAUCCCGGGACCCACCCCUUCUUGAGACCACCGGGGUCCAGGGCCGCUGGGAACGAAGAACGUGUAUGUAGUAUGCAGGAAGUCAUUUCAAGUCGGCCAACUUAAAAAAUGCGGCGAAUUAUAUAUAUACAUAUAUUUUUUUAAUGUGAGAAGCAAUCUGUGUUCCAUAUAAACUAUGCCACAACUGUAUGCUAUAAAAUACACAUCAGGAAAAAAGGAUGAUCAUUUCCAAGAACGACUCUUCUCCAUAGACUGGCUUCACCUACCUAGAAAAAUUAUACAAGAGGCCAACAGCUACUGUUGGUUCCUAUUUAAUAAAAAUGGAAUGCUUUGUAUGCCUAAACAACUAACUUCUAAAUCUGAAAGCCGCCUUGCUAAGCGGUGUAAAAUAUCUGUUGUGCAUUUGAGUUUUACAUUCACAACAACAGAGCACAUGGUUUUUUAUCUAUUUGCAGUACUACUGAAGGUGAGUCUAUCAGUAGCAAAAAAGUUAGCAAAACCACAUUUCACAAGAGACACAUGCAAAUAUGGGCUAGAGUGAAUCCCCAGCAAUUCCCCAUCAAGGCAGGGGAAAUAUUUUUGGAAUUUUUGAAAUCCUAAAAAUCGAAGUCUUUUGAGAGAAAUAUGUGCGGUUUUCUUUCUUUCGUCUUUCCACACGUAAGAUACAGGCAGAAACACUGGUCCGGUCCAGUGACUGGUGUUGCUUCUCUACGUAGGCAGAAACUGUGAGUUUGCAGGGUCUGGUUUCAAAGUCACCCAAGUGUCCCUCUGCUUCCCCCGAGAAUCCGUCCUCCCUCCAUUCAGUGACAAUGACGUGCAUGCGUUUAAUUACGUGGCUUCAUACUACAGCUGGAUCCCAGCGCACGUGGAAAGUAGCCUGGGGUGUCUGUGCUUUUGAGCAGCGGAAAGUGCUAAAAAGGUAAAGUCUCAAUAAAAAGAAUAGACUUGGAUUCUUUUUUGUGGGCCUGUCUUGGGAGGAAGAAAGAGUGAGAAGUAGCAGUCUGACGGGCUCUGGAUGCUGGGAGCCAGCCCCUCCUACGUAACUCCUGCUCAGAAAUCAGUCUAAGAGGAACAAUGGGCCCGCAGAGGAGUUCUCAGGACUCACAAUUCCCGAGGUGGUGGAACACUUUGUGCUCGGCUGACUUCCCUCCCACGGGGCCCCGUGUGCCCGAGAACAUCAUCAAGGUAUGGGAAAAAGAAGGCCUUGCAUCUUCCUAAGCCGGGAGAGUGUGUGGCCAGGGCUGAACCAGACGCCAAGACACCGUAAAACCCCAUAAUUAUAACAACGACUUAAUCAUACGUUUGAAUGUGGCUUCUGAAGAGUCAGGUUGUUCCUGCUCUUUCGAUCCUAUUCCCGCUCUGAUUACAUCAGCUGUGUUACAGCCAACAGAAGCCACGGGAACCUUGAUUGCUCAGAAAUGUGUGUCUUUUGCAGCACAUGACAAGGAGAGUUUCGCCUCCACCUGUUCCAGCCCGGGGAAAAUGGGGAAAUGGUGGUUCUGCAGCAACGCGUGCUGUUUUCUCCGUCCAGGCGAGGGCUGUGACCUUAGGAACGCUCCAGUGGGUGACACCCACAGUUGCAGAGCUGGACACACAUCGACAGGACGUUGGCCUCCGUGGCCUGCUGCUACAGGUGGUGAUGGAGCAGCCGCUCCAUUGGCCUCCAGGCCCAGCGUCCACUCAGCUGUGCUUGGUCCCGGGUUCCUCCAGCAGAGUUAAGGCGCCUUCCUGGCAGGACUUCCUCUAAUAACAGAGACAAAGCACACGGCCUUCAUCCUCUGGGCUGGGGCGUCCCCUCUCCCUUGGCGGUGGCUUGGGGAACAGCGCCUGCAUUCUAGUUUCCUUCUGACAGUUUGAUGUGGAGCCCGACCUUUAUCUCAUGGAAUGCCCGGACAGGGACAGUCUCUACCAAGCCCCAUGGACAAAUGAGCCCUUCCCAGUGUCCGUAGGUGUGUGGCGGCACACCUGUCGAGGACACGCCCACUUCACAGAGCCCCUCCCGAACAUCUUAGCCUUCCACCUGAGAGAGCAUCUGGAAAUGCCAGUGGGAGAUCACGACGCUGUCGGUAUGACUAUGUAUCUAUAAUCAUCUUUAUUAUUUUACUAAUAAUGUGUGAACUGGGGCAGUUUGCAUAUUAUUAGUAGAGUUACACUGUGACACAUUUCAGAGCCAAUUAGGACACAUCAGGGGGACUGAGC
This 3383-nucleotide long non-coding RNA is filed under the name Equus caballus (horse). Its description in RNAcentral is "lncRNA (ENSECAG00000047827.1)". Lineage: Eukaryota; Metazoa; Chordata; Mammalia; Perissodactyla; Equidae. The record is from RNAcentral.